UCCGAUGCCACGUUCAUGGAACCCAAGUUGGCUGCGUCCGGCAGCUAUCGUGCUCAGCGGCUGCGUCCCCGCACGGCCGCUGCUCCCUCCUAGAAAAACCCAUGUGUUGCAGAGCUCGCACCGGCAGCUAGCGCUCGCACUCGGAGGAGCCCGCGUGCUGCAGAGCUCGCUUGCCCCGGGGCCGGAGGCUCACGCACAUCGAUGGCCGUCCAAGGCCAUGGCAGCAGCAGCCCGCAGGCAGCCCUAAGCGCCACGCCUCACCCCCGUCCAUGAUCCACAACGAGCUGUGAGUCUCCCACCGUUGAUUCCCUCUUCGAGCUUCACGGCCUCGUCUUCUCCAAUAGGACCGUCCACAACGCCGCUGCCACUGUCGAUGGCGGGCUACGUUGCACCGAUACGGAUACGGCGAUACCGAUACGGCGAUACGUUGAUACGGCAUUUUCAGAAAACAAGGAUACGCCGAUACGGCAAGUAUAUAAAUAUAUCAAAAAAAUCAGAAUACUUCUAUUAAGAAUAAUUUUCACUCUAGUAGAAUAAUCAACAAAUAGAGAUGACAAAAUAUAGACAUGGCUAGUACCAUGAAACAUUUAAGAUACUUGGUUUCACACUAGCAGAAAACUAAAUAUUAUUUUUAAUAUCCUUACAGCAGAAUGAUAAAUAUUAGGAUACUAUAAGUUUUAGGCUAAGUUCGCUACUACAUCUAUUGUGUACGUGUGGUGGCUAGUAGAGUUUUAGUGUUGUGUAAAUGGACCACAAAAAUGAGCUGCUAAUUUGAUGGACUUCAAUUUGAGAGGUUAUGGGCUGGGAAGUAUCGGGAAGGUAUCGGUCUAGUAUCGACGAAGUAUCAGAUUUAUUUUAUUUAUUUUUAUUUUUCUAUUUCCCCGAUACUUCUCCGAUACCGUAUCGGCGCCGUAUCGGCGUAUCAGCGUAUCGGAUACGUAUCGCGAUACCGAUACGGCGAUUCAGAGAAGUAUCGGGGUAACGCAGAUGGCGGGGGGCGCCACCUGCAUAUGGUUGACUAUGGCCUCGGCUACGGGAUCUAGUGGUCGGGGCUGCUUCAUGUCCUCACCACAAGGGAGGGCAGCCCGCCAGAGCUGGUCAUGAACUCAUGAUCACCGGCAUGGAACUGCCACAGACUGCUGCCUCCUGCCGAAGUGGACGAAAAAUGCUAAGUGUUGCAAGCCUUUGCAUUGUAUGCGUGCUGAGUCAUUGGAUAGGGAAUGGAGGGUGGAGAUCGCAGGAAAGUUACAAUGUAACUUUGCUCUGCAAAGUCACCUAAUCUGGCUCC
This 1288-nucleotide long non-coding RNA is filed under the name Sorghum bicolor (sorghum). RNAcentral describes it as "long non-coding RNA (SBIC_LNC005901)". Lineage: Eukaryota; Viridiplantae; Streptophyta; Magnoliopsida; Poales; Poaceae. The record is from RNAcentral.